UUCACAGGCUGGAAAAUAUAAUUGCUCUAGCACAAGCAAUAAAUGACGCUCAGAAACGUAAAUUAGAGAAUAUUAAGAAAGAUCUGGAAAAUAUCGCUGCAAAAAGCCAGGAACAAAUACAAUCUGAUAUAAACACACAAGCACAACCAAUAAAGGACCCAGAUUUACAAAAAUUACUGGAUUUAAAUAUAACGAUGAGAAUGUGAAAAUAGCGACCAACUGAAAGUGGGAACGGCCAUCAAGCAAUAACUAUAAACCAUACAUUGCUGUCAGUACGGAGCUGUUACAGCACAUCGGAUUAUAGGGGCAACAGGUUGGACUUGUUUGUUAUAUGCUGCUAAUUAUUAGAUUUAUUGCUCCGAUGAAUGAAAAUAUUCUCUAAUGAACACUAUUCCCUGCUGGAAAGCUACAGUCUAAUAGAACUGCUCUAUAAUCACAAUAAAUCAAACCAUUACCCAGUA
Molecule: long non-coding RNA, 461 nt
Organism: Xenopus tropicalis (tropical clawed frog)
Lineage: Eukaryota; Metazoa; Chordata; Amphibia; Anura; Pipidae
Exons: 5
Source: RefSeq, a predicted model, not a curated record